This is a long non-coding RNA of Cyprinus carpio carpio, 1290 nucleotides long. The record is from Ensembl. NCBI's taxonomy places the organism in Eukaryota, Metazoa, Chordata, Actinopteri, Cypriniformes, Cyprinidae.
GGGUAAGCCUCGACGACCGUAGGAUGGAAAAGAUGGGAUUGUGUGUCCGUGGGGCUCUUGCCGAUGUCCGAUGGGGGGCUUGAUACUCGCGGCAUCGGAUGGCUUGCAUAUUGGGUAGAUCGGUUUGGCGACCGAAAAACAUGGAAAGGUAACGGUUGUCUGGCCAGGAGGCUCUCGCCAGCGUCCGAUGGGAGCACACGCAUCGAACAGGUAAGCCUCACUGGCCGAAGGAUAGAAAAGGUAAGGUUGUCUAACCGGGAGGCUCUCACCAACAUCCGAUGGGAGCUCCACUCCAGGCAUCGAAUGGGUAAACCUCUCUGGGCGUAAGACAGAACAGCAAUGUAGAGUAGCCGGGCGGCUCUCACCUACAUCCGAUGGGAGGUCCAACUCCAUGCAUCGAACGGGUAAGCCUUGCUGGCCGCAGAAUAGAAAAGGUAAGGUCGUCUAGCUGGGAGGCUCUCGCCGGCAUCCGAUGGGAGCUCGAGCUCCUGGAAUCGAAGAGGUAAGCCUCACUGACCAUAGAAUAGAAAAGGUAAGGUUAUCUAGCCAGGAGGCUCUCGCCGGCAUCCAGUGGGAGUUUAAUACUUGCGACACCAGAUGGGUAAGUCUCUCUGACCAUGAGAGGGGAAAGUUAAGGUUGUUUAGUUGCGACGCUCUCGCCGGUGUUCGGCGGGAGCUUAAUGCUUGCAGUAUCGGAUGGGUACAUCUCGCCGAUCGUAGAAUGGAAACGGAGGCUUUUCGCUGGCCUCCCAUGGGGGCUCGAAACUCUAAUAUUGGAUAGGUCAGCUUGGCGACCGUAGUACGGAAAAAGUAAGGUUGUCUAGCCUGGAGGCUCUCGUCGACGUCCGAUGGGAGCACACUGCAUCGAACGGGUAACCCUCGCUGGCCGUAAAAUAGAAAUGAUAAAGUUGUGUGGCCGGGAGGCUCUCGCCGGCAUCCGGUUGGAGCUCAAUACUCAUGGUGCCGGAUGGGUAAGUCUCGCUGACCGUAAAAGGGGAAAGUUAAGGUUGUUUAACUGGGAAGCUCUCGCCGACGUUCGAUGGGAGCACACUGCAUCAAAUGGGUAAGCCUCGCUGGCCGUAAAACAGAAAAGGUAAAGUUGUGUGGCCGGGAGGCUCUCGCCGGCAUCCGACAGGAGCUCAAUGCUCGGUGCACGGAUGGGUAAGCAACACCGUUAGUUGAAAGAAAACUUUCACUCGACCUGGAAAGCUACUGCAGCAUCUGACGGGAGUUUAAUACUUGCGGCAUCAGACAGGUAAACCUCGCUGGUAGUUGGAUGGAAAAGGCAAG